AUAUUUACCUGGCAGGGGAGAUACCAGGGUCAUGAAGGUGGUUUUCCCAGGGUGAGCCUCGCCCAUGGCGCUCUGGUGUGCCGACCCCCGCGAUUUCCCCAAUGUGGAACCUCGACUGAAUAAUCUGUGGUAGUGGGGGGCUGUGUUUGCAUUCUCCCCUG
Molecule: small nuclear RNA, 161 nt
Organism: Molossus molossus (Pallas's mastiff bat)
Lineage: Eukaryota; Metazoa; Chordata; Mammalia; Chiroptera; Molossidae
Product: U1 spliceosomal RNA
Exons: 1
Source: RefSeq, a predicted model, not a curated record